ACUCCUACGGGAGGCAGCAGUGGGGAAUAUUGCACAAUGGGGAAACCCUGAUGCAGCCAUGCCGCGUGUGUGAAGAAGGCCUUCGGUUGUAAAGCACUUUCAGUAGGGAGGAAGGUAGUGUAGUUAACACCUGCAUUAUUUGACGUUACCUACAGAAGAAGCACCGGCUAACUCCGUGCCAGCAGCCGCGGUAAUACGGAGGGGUGCGAGCGUUAAUCGGAAUUACUGGGCGUAAAGCGCAUGCAGGCGGCCUGUUAAGUCAGAUGUGAAAGCCCGGGGGCUUAACCUCGGAAUUGCAUUUGAAACUGGCAGGCUAGAGUCUUGUAGAGGGGGUAGAAGUUUCAGGUGUAGCGGUGAAAUGCGUAGAGAUCUGAAGGAAUACCAGUGGCGAAGGCGGCCCCCUGGACAAAGACUGACGCUCAGAUGCGAAAGCGUGGGGAGCGAAACAGGAUUAGAU
This 457-nucleotide ribosomal RNA is filed under the name uncultured bacterium. Its description in RNAcentral is "bacterial SSU rRNA". It matches the Rfam family "Bacterial small subunit ribosomal RNA", at positions 335 to 783 of the family's 1533-position model. The record is from RNAcentral.